Molecule: small RNA, 972 nt
Filed under: uncultured bacterium
Lineage: Bacteria
Description: bacterial SSU rRNA
Rfam family: Bacterial small subunit ribosomal RNA (bases 1-489)
Source: RNAcentral
AUGGCUGUCGUCAGCUCGUGUCGUGAGAUGUUGGGUUAAGUCCCGCAACGAGCGCAACCCCUAUCCUUAGUUGCCAGCACAUUAUGGUGGGGACUCUAAGGAGACUGCCUGGGAUAACCAGGAGGAAGGUGGGGAUGAUGUCAAGUCAGUAUGUCCCUUAUGUCCAGGGCUACACACGUGUUACAAUGGUUGGUACAGAGGGCAGCUAAGCCGCAAGGUGGAGCCAAUCCCCCAAAACCAACCCCAGUUCGGAUUGGAGUCUGCAACUCGACUCCAUGAAGCAGGAAUCGCUAGUAAUCGUGGAUCAGAACGCCACGGUGAAUACGUUCCCGGGUCUUGUACACACCGCCCGUCACGCCAUGGAAGUCAGUAGUACCCGAAUCGGGUGGCCCAACCUUAGGGAGGGAGCUCGUUAAGGUAAGACUGGUAACUGGGGCGAAGUCGUAACAAGGUAGCCGUACCGGAAGGUGCGGCUGGAUCACCUCCUUUUAAAGGAGUAUCUCGGAGCGAUCCGAGAGAGGUCGAACCGGUAAUCGGUUAGACCGUCGCAUACUAUAGAAUUAUGGGCUUGUAGCUCAGGUGGUUAGAGCGCAUCCCUGAUAAGGAUGAGGUCCGUGGUUCGAGUCCACGCAGGCCCACUUGAAUUACAACCCUUAAAAAAUUAUGGGGCUGUAGCUCAGUUGGGAGAGCGCCUGAUUUGCAUUCAGGAGGUCGCAGGUUCGAUCCCUGUCAGCUCCACAGCAUUAAAAAUUUUAGUUUUUUGACAAUUUGGAAAUUGGAAAGAUUGAAUCACCUGUCCGGUGAUUCAAUGUAGCCAAGUCAUCUUCAAGAACAACACUUUGGUAAAGCUACUAAGGGUGUACGGGGGAUGCCUAGGCACAUGGAGACGAUGAAGGACGUGAUAAGCUGCGAUAAGCCUCGGGUAGGUGCAAAUAACCUUAGAUCCGAGGAUGUCCGAAUGGGGAAACCCGG